Non-coding RNA from Condylostylus longicornis, 84 nucleotides. The record is from the annotation of a RefSeq genome assembly. Lineage: Eukaryota; Metazoa; Arthropoda; Insecta; Diptera; Dolichopodidae.
GCACAGAUGGCCGAGUGGUCUAAGGCGUCAGACUCAAGUUCUGAUGGAAGUAAUUCCGCGUGGGUUCAAAUCCCACUCUGUGCA